UAUUAUCAGGAUGAGGACGAACGGCCCUGAUAAACAUUUGCAUGCCGCUACCCAGAACAUUUGGCACUUAGCGGAGUUCAAACUACAACUCUCCUGCAAACCCACCCAAUUGUGAAUAAACCGACAAUAUCACAAAACAAUUACAUGUUCGGAACACAUGCAUGCAAACAACAAGAA
This is a long non-coding RNA of Spea bombifrons (plains spadefoot toad), 177 nucleotides long. RefSeq lists it as uncharacterized. The transcript is spliced from 2 exons. The record is from RefSeq and is a predicted model, not a curated record. Lineage: Eukaryota; Metazoa; Chordata; Amphibia; Anura; Pelobatidae.